Molecule: ribosomal RNA, 253 nt
Filed under: uncultured bacterium
Lineage: Bacteria
Description: partial 16S ribosomal RNA
Rfam family: Bacterial small subunit ribosomal RNA
Source: RNAcentral
UACGUAGGGUGCGAGCGUUGUCCGGAAUUAUUGGGCGUAAAGGGCUCGUAGGCGGUCUGUUGCGUCGGGAGUGAAAUCCCGAGGCUCAACCUCGGGUCUGCAGUCGAUACGAGCAAACUAGAGUGUUGCAGGGGAGACUGGAAUUCCUGGUGUAGCGGUGAAAUGCGUAGAUAUCUGGAGGAACACCGGUGGCGAAGGCGGCUCACUGGGGCUUAUCUGACGCUGAGGAACGAAAGCCAGGGGAGCGAACGGG